RNAcentral lists this ribosomal RNA (845 nucleotides) under hydrothermal vent metagenome. RNAcentral describes it as "bacterial SSU rRNA". It matches the Rfam family "Archaeal small subunit ribosomal RNA", at positions 281 to 1132 of the family's 1478-position model. The record is from RNAcentral.
AGAGAGUAGCCCGAGAGGACACUGAGAAACUGGUCCCAGCCCUACGGGGUGCAGCAGCGCGAACCUUUACAAUGCACGCAAGUGUGAUAAGGGGACCCUAAGUGCUCAUGAAUUUCAUGGGCUUUUGCCAAGAGUAAAUAUCUUGGAGAAUAAGUGGUGGGUAAGACUGGUGCCAGCCGCCGCGGUAACACCAGCGCCACGAGUGGCAACCACGUUUAUUGGGCCUAAAGCGUCCGUAGCCGGUUUGGUAAAUCUCUUGUGAAAUCGUCAGGCUCAACCUGACGGCGUGCAUGAGACACUACCAGACUUGAGACCGGGAGGAGUCAAAGGUAUUUUAGGGGGAGCGGUAAAAUGUGAUAAUCCCUAGAAGAUCACCUAUGGCGAAGGCAUUUGACCAGAACGGAUCUGACGGUCAGGGACGAAGGCUAGGGGAGCGAUCCGGAUUAGAUACCCGAGUAGUCCUAGCAGUAAACGCUGCGAGCUAGAUGUUGCGCUUCUCACGAGGAUGUGCAGUAUCGAAACGAAGGUGAUAAGCUCGCCGCCUGGGAAGUACGGUCGCAAGACUGAAACUUUAAGGAAUUGGCGGGGGAGCACCACAAGGGGUGCGGCGUGCGGUUUAAUCUAACUCAACGCAGAGAACCUUACUAGAAGCGACGGCAGGAAGAAGGUCAGUCUGAAGGGCUUGCCUGACGAGCCGAGAGGUAGUGCAUGGCCGCCGUCAGCUCGUGCCGUAAGGUGUCCAGUUAAGUCUGGCAACGAGCGAGACCUAUACCUGCUAUUGCUAACGGCUAUAUAUAGGACCGAGCACUUUGCAGGGACUGCCUUGGAAACAAGGAGGAAGGUGU